UGAUAAAAACAUAUAAACUUGCCACAAAAUGGUUAAAACUAAUUACUAAGGACCUUAAUGAAUUAAUUGGGUUAAAUGAAUAUGAUUACUACUCAAAGGUACUUAAAACCAUUAUAAUUAGGUUUACAAAAUAGCACUUUUUGGUAGUAAUCAAUAGUCAACAUGCAAAAACUUUUCUUCCAACUUUGCUUUCAUCUCAACCCAUGUAUCGAUCCAUGGACCUCCCUUUCUUUCAUGAGUGCAAAC
RNAcentral lists this long non-coding RNA (246 nucleotides) under Vitis vinifera (wine grape). RNAcentral's name for it is "long non-coding RNA (VVIN_LNC005319)". The record is from RNAcentral. Lineage: Eukaryota; Viridiplantae; Streptophyta; Magnoliopsida; Vitales; Vitaceae.